CCGAGCCUCUUCCCGAUUCUCUCUUCCUCUCCGACCUCUUCACCUUCUUCCGGCCAUAACUCCUCCAUCCGGCGACGGAUUUUGACGUGUAAGAUGUCGUUGGAAAGCUCUCUUCCUUCUCUUCAUUUCUGGGUUCGUUUCGUAGCUUAAUAUGAACUGUGGAAGGUGCAGCAACGAGAAGAAGAGGACGGUCACUGUAGCAGUUUUGAGUCAACGCCGAUAUUUUCCGAUUCCGGCAGUCUCCGGCCACCAAAUUGGCGUCGAAGGGUUCUUGGAAUUUCUGGAAAAUUUUCACCGGCCAAAUUGGAGCUCUUCCAGGGCAAUGCCGCGAGCUACGGUUAAAUGAAGGAAUUCGUUUGCGUGGUCGCCCAAUAGUACUUUUGCAGGCGAAAUUAGUUGAGGUCGGGCGUACAUGGAGUCGAGGCAUAGCCAACAGCAAUGCUUCCGCGUACUCAUUCUAUUUCUGUUUUCUUUGUUACCUAGUGGAUUAGUAUUGCUCUGAUAACCUAUGGGAUUAAUAUUGUUUUUGGGUUGAGACUGAUAUUUGUGAAAUUGGAGUUGUGAUUUGGGGAGCAGAUGGCUCCAGAAGAUUAAGGAUGGAUGAUUUAGAAGUGUAAAUGUUUUCCUACAGGUUUUGGGUAGCCUACUUUUAGGGGAAGUUCCGCCAAAUUUUUGGUAGAAUCUCUUCUAAAGUGGGCCCCGCAGGGCCACUUCGAUUUCAGGGUGAAAUCUG
This is a long non-coding RNA of Rosa rugosa (rugosa rose), 733 nucleotides long. RefSeq lists it as uncharacterized. The transcript is spliced from 4 exons. Lineage: Eukaryota; Viridiplantae; Streptophyta; Magnoliopsida; Rosales; Rosaceae. The record is from RefSeq and is a predicted model, not a curated record.